This 337-nucleotide long non-coding RNA is filed under the name Homo sapiens (human). RNAcentral's name for it is "HSALNT0338562". The record is from RNAcentral. Lineage: Eukaryota; Metazoa; Chordata; Mammalia; Primates; Hominidae.
CCUUCACAGGGCGGAAGGUGAAAUUCCGUGUGCUUAGCAGAGGACAAUUCAAACGGGUGUCCAGCAGAGAUGGUCAGGACCUCAGCCCGCAGCUAUGAGAAGGGGUCCUCCGGGUGGAGGGAAGAGUCUAGCCCCGCAGGCGAGGCGGGGAAGCAGAGGCGUGCUUCCAAGACGUCCAGAGGCGCGAUCAGGAUAUAUAUGAUCACAUUUUAACUUAGUCUGCAACAUGUACUGAAUAAAAAGAAGAUAGUGCAAAGCAAUUCUCCAACACAGUAAAAGAGGCUGUGAAAAUUGGGGCAGGAAAAGGUUUAUUUCAUGUGGCUGGUCUCAGAACCUG